GGUUCAGGAUGAACGCUGGCGGCAUGCCUAAUACAUGCAAGUCGAACGAAGAAAUGUUGCUUGAAGGUGCUUGCACCGGAUAGUUGCUUUUCUUAGUGGCGAACGGGUGAGUAACACGUAGGUAACCUGCCUAGUUUGGGAUAACAGUUCGAAAGGACUGCUAACACCGAAUAAUCUUAAAUUUGGGCAUCUAAAUUUAAGGAAAGUUAACGCUAGAGGAUGAGCCCGCGUCCCAUUAGCUAGUUGGUGAGGUAACGGCCCACCAAGGCAACGAUGGGUAGCCGACCUGAGAGGGUGACCGGCCACACUGGGACUGAGACACGGCCCAGACUCCUACGGGAGGCAGCAGUAGGGAAUUUUCCGCAAUGGACGAAAGUCUGACGGAGCAACGCCGCGUGAGGGAUGAAGGUUUUCGGAUCGUAAACCUCUGUCCUUGGGGAAGAUAAUGACGGUACCCAAGGAGGAAGCCACGGCUAACUACGUGCCAGCCGCCGC
This 495-nucleotide ribosomal RNA is filed under the name uncultured bacterium. RNAcentral describes it as "bacterial SSU rRNA". It matches the Rfam family "Bacterial small subunit ribosomal RNA", at positions 21 to 518 of the family's 1533-position model. The record is from RNAcentral.